GACGUAGGGGGCUAGCGUUGUUCGGAAUCACUGGGCGUAAAGCGCACGUAGGCGGAUUGUUAAGUCGGGGGUGAAAUCCUGAGGCUCAACCUCAGAACUGCCUUCGAUACUGGCGAUCUUGAGUCCGGAAGAGGUUGGUGGAACAGCUAGUGUAGAGGUGAAAUUCGUAGAUAUUAGCUAGAACACCAGUGGCGAAGGCGGCCAACUGGUCCGGAACUGACGCUGAGGUGCGAAAGCGUGGGGAGCAAACAGG
This 253-nucleotide ribosomal RNA is filed under the name uncultured bacterium. Its description in RNAcentral is "partial 16S ribosomal RNA". It matches the Rfam family "Bacterial small subunit ribosomal RNA", at positions 524 to 776 of the family's 1533-position model. The record is from RNAcentral.